RNAcentral lists this ribosomal RNA (107 nucleotides) under Erinaceus europaeus (western European hedgehog). Lineage: Eukaryota; Metazoa; Chordata; Mammalia; Eulipotyphla; Erinaceidae. The record is from RNAcentral.
GUCUAAGGCCAUAAGACCCUGAACUCGCCUGAUCUCAUCUGAUCUUGGAAGCUAAGCAGGGUUAGGCCUAGUUAGUACUUGGAUGGAAUAAGUACUUAUUUUCUACC